This 207-nucleotide long non-coding RNA is filed under the name Theobroma cacao (cacao). RNAcentral's name for it is "long non-coding RNA (TCAC_LNC000558)". The record is from RNAcentral. Lineage: Eukaryota; Viridiplantae; Streptophyta; Magnoliopsida; Malvales; Malvaceae.
GCUUCCUUAUAGUUGUUACCUAAUACCUGUAUCACACACAUGAGAAAGAAGGUUUUCCCUGCAUUUCUUUAUAGGUCAAUGAUUAGUCAUGUUGUGUUUCUUGCAUGGUACGUGAAAAAAUGAUUUCGAACUGACCACUUGACGUUUGGCUGAGUUAAGGGAGCAAAGAGAACAAGGCCCCUCCACCACCGUGUUAUUGUGAUCAGG